This 305-nucleotide ribosomal RNA is filed under the name uncultured bacterium. Its description in RNAcentral is "bacterial SSU rRNA". It matches the Rfam family "Bacterial small subunit ribosomal RNA", at positions 338 to 657 of the family's 1533-position model. The record is from RNAcentral.
CCUACGGGGCGCAGCAGUGGGGAAUAUUGCUCAAUGGGGGAAACCCUGAAGCAGCAACGCCGCGUGAAGGAAGAAGGCUUUCGGGUUGUAAACUUCUUUUCUCAGGGACGAAGAAAGUGACGGUACCUGAGGAAUAAGCCACGGCUAACUACGUGCCAGCAGCCGCGGUAAUACGUAGGUGGCAAGCGUUAUCCGGAUUUACUGGGUGUAAAGGGCGUGUAGGCGGGACUGCAAGUCAGAUGUGAAAACCACGGGCUCAACCUGUGGCCUGCAUUUGAAACUGUAGUUCUUGAGUACUGGAGAGG